GUGUUAAAGGGAUUUUCUUAAAUUUUCCCUUUGUCUCUUUAAGAGGCAGGAAGAGUGCAGGAUUUCUUAGUAGAGGAGAACUGGCAGGUGCCAUUUAGCCAGAGCUGAAAAUUCUGUUACCUAGGAGAUGAGGAAGUUAAGAGGGGAACAGUUGGGAGUUGAAGGUCUUUUGCAUCUGGACCUUGAGGGAGUAGGAGCUUCUGUCUCUACUACUGGCAGUUUUUACUACUGACAGUUGGGAUAGAGAAAUGGACUUAAGGAGUUCGUUGUUAUGUCUGACUCUUUGUCAGACCCCAACUUGGGUUUUCUUGGCAAAGAUGCUGUUGUGUUUUACCAUUUCCUUCUCCAGCUCAUUUUACAGAUGAGGAAACUGAGUUGGUCCCAGAGAGAGUCUAGAAUUACCCAUGACCUCUCUCCAAGUAGGAAGGAAGAAUGUCAUUCCUCUCCAAAGCUUCCCUGCCAGCAUACAGCAUCCAUGUUCCCUCACAACAUGAAAAAUGGAAAGUCCAACAGUUUAUUGUCCUAGAGCUAGUGCCAAUCCUGAUGAAUAAGUCUGCCACAGCCAUGGAGUGAUCUGAGGGGAUAGAGGUAGGGUACUCUUUGGCAGGUGGAGAGGAUUUUCCCAAUGGCACCCAGGUAGUUACUGUUGGGACUCCCCUGGUAAUGAGUAGGA
Molecule: long non-coding RNA, 673 nt
Filed under: Monodelphis domestica (gray short-tailed opossum)
Lineage: Eukaryota; Metazoa; Chordata; Mammalia; Didelphimorphia; Didelphidae
Description: lncRNA (ENSMODG00000051471.1)
Source: RNAcentral